RNAcentral lists this ribosomal RNA (282 nucleotides) under uncultured Anoxybacillus sp. Its description in RNAcentral is "partial 16S ribosomal RNA". It matches the Rfam family "Bacterial small subunit ribosomal RNA", at positions 1100 to 1382 of the family's 1533-position model. Lineage: Bacteria; Bacillati; Bacillota; Bacilli; Caryophanales; Anoxybacillaceae. The record is from RNAcentral.
AACCCUCGACCUUAGUUGCCAGCAUUCAGUUGGGCACUCUAAGGUGACUGACCGGCUAAAAGUCGGAGGAAGUGGGGAUGACGUCAAAUCAUCAUGCCCUUAUGACCUGGGCUACACACGUGCUACAAUGGGCGGUACAAAGGGUCGCGAACCCGCGAGGGGGAGCCAAUCCCAAAAAGCCGCUCUCAGUUCGGAUUGCAGGCUGCAACUCGCCUGCAUGAAGCCGGAAUCGCUAGUAAUCGCGGAUCAGCAUGCCGCGGUCGAAUACGGUUCCCGGGCCUU